Molecule: long non-coding RNA, 1368 nt
Organism: Gordionus sp. m RMFG-2023
Lineage: Eukaryota; Metazoa; Nematomorpha; Gordioida; Chordodea; Parachordodidae
Exons: 6
Source: RefSeq, a predicted model, not a curated record
UUUUGUAAGAAUAAAAUAUCUUCUUCAAUUAGUAGUUCAAACCUCAAAGUCUAAAUAUAAUAUUAAAUUUAAUCAAUAUUUAGACCAUAAAUACGAAUACGAUACAGAUGAUGGGCUUUGCCUGACUAUUAAAUUUGAAAGUGCUAAGUUUUGCAGAUACCUGAUUUAUUUGAAUGAACGCUUAUUUAAUAACAAAUUAAUUAUCAUUUCUUAAUAUAGAUUUCCUUUUCACUGUAUGACAGUAACAUUGGCAGCAAUAAUUCACUCAAAAUUUAAGUUAAACUGGCCUUAUAUUAAUCUGCCACAAAAUGGUAAAAGAAAGGUUAAUUGCCCAUUUGGGAAAUAUGUAGGAUCAACUACAUGUAGAUGCUUCAAAUGAAUGGGAUUUGACAAAUUCACAAUUUUAUAAUUAUACCAGAAUGAGAAGAUCAACCUUUUCAUAUAUUCUCGGGUUAAUAUAUGAUGAUAUAAAUCCAAAAAUUACUAAUUUAACAAACAAAUUGAUCUGAAGACAGAUUAUUUAUUACCUUGAGCAUAUAGUUCAAGGAUUUCAAAAUCCUGUAUAGCCAACAUUGUGAAAAUCAAUGCACAGCCAAAUGUACAUACAUAUAUCCCUAAGCCCAAUAAAAAUGAAUGGGAAAGAAUUUCCCAAGAAUUCCUCCUUCAAUCCGGAUUAUAAAAUUGUUUUGGGGCAAUAGAUGGUAAACAUAUCUAUAUCAAGAGCCCUCAAAAUAGAGGCUCAUAAUCUUAUGACUUUAAACAUAGAUUUUCAAUUAACCUGUUAACCUUAACAGAUAUCAACAGAAAAUUUAUUUUUAUAUAUGUGGGAGCAUAUGGAAAGCAGAGUGAUGGCGGAGUAUGAAAGAGCUCUUUAUAUAAAGAAUUGGUGAACAAUACACUUGAUCUGCCUGCUCUCAAGCCCUUUCCAGUUUUAAUGAAGCCAUGCUAUUUGUAAUGUCUGUUGAAGCCCUACCCCAAAAAAUCUAACAAUGGAAUUCAACGUGAGGUUAUUCCAUGCCAGUGUAGGCAUAGAAAGGAGUUUUGGGGGAAUUGUUUAAAAAAAUCUGAGUUUCUGAUUAAGCCAAUAGAAAUUGGCCUAGCUAUCAUAUAAAUAGUCAUAAAAACAAUCUGUAUCUUACACAACAUAAUCGUCAACAUAGAAGGAUCAGCUUCCAAUGAUGAUACAGAGAUACAACAAUGGUAAACCUUAAUGCUAGACCAUCAUUACUUAGCAGAGAAAAUAAUUCUUCUUCAAUGGAAUCAAAAAUUCUUAGAAAUAAAUUUAAAGAUUAUUUAAAUUAUUAAAUUUGUUUAUUUAUAUUGUAAUAAAUUUAUUUAUUAUACAUAAUGUAUGUUAUUAAAUGAUAU